GAGCACGUAGGUGGGUUUGUAAGUCAGCUGUGAAAGCCUUCUGCUUAACGGAAGAACAGCAGUUGAAACUACAGUGCUUGAGUGCGGGAGGGGAGAGUGGAACUUCUGGUGGAGCGGUGAAAUGCGUAGAUAUCAGAAGGAACGCCGGCGGCGAAAGCGGCUCUCUGGCCCGUAACUGACGCUGAGUGUGCGAAAGCUAGGGGAGCAAACGGGAUUAGAUACCCCGGUAGUCCUAGCCGUAAACGAUGGGCACUAAGUAGAGGGGUUUU
This 269-nucleotide ribosomal RNA is filed under the name uncultured bacterium. RNAcentral's name for it is "partial 16S ribosomal RNA". It matches the Rfam family "Bacterial small subunit ribosomal RNA", at positions 565 to 832 of the family's 1533-position model. The record is from RNAcentral.